UUCCCUUUCCAUUCUCUUUCUUCUAUUUAAAUUUUUCUAAUUUCCAGCUUCGGAAUUCGAUCACCUGUUCUGAGCUUGUUCCACAAUUCUACUCUAUUUGUGAUUUUUGUGUGUAAAUAAAUACAUUGCUUUCAAUCAUUCAUCUUAGUAUAUUUCGUUCUUAUACAAUGUGCAAAACACUUGGAUUUCAAUUAUAUAUAUAUAGCUUGAAGAGGCUUUCUGAAACUUUUUCAGUUUCACCAUUGUAACGCUGAUUUAAUCUAUUUCCUCUCAUAUUGUAUGCAUGUUUGUUUAUUCUGUUUGGUGAAUUGUUUUUGGAACUCUAGAAUUGCACAUUCUUAAGUAAUCAGUGUUCUAGCAAUACAGUGAAAUUCGUUGAACUCUUAUAGAUAUAGAAUGGAAUUAAAUUUCUAGAUUAUGGCUUCUCUUAAUCAUUUAUUGCAGCAGAUAGAUUUAUCUAUGCAGAAAUUAUAGUAUUAGGAUUAUUUAUUGCAGUAUUAUUCUCUCUUCUGUGAUUUGAAAGUUGUAGAAGUAGUUAGGUGAUAUGUUAAGAUAGAAUAUUGAAAGGUUCUUUUUUUUCUCCUUCUGUUUUAUGACCUUCUUUUUAGCUUAAAUAUUAAUGAAAAAUAAAAUUAACUUUGUCUAUGACCUACUUGGCUGAGGAGUGAGGAGCAGAUACUCCGGGAUGAUAUCAAGUUUGAUGGAAAAGCCCAUACAGCUUUUCAUGAAAGAUAUGAGGAUGCUGCCCAAGUAUAAUGUCACUGCCACGUUAAGGUCUCAGGACAAACCUCUGGCUGCAAUGCAAUUUUUGUAUUGACCAGAGCUUGCUUCUCUUGCCAUAAGUGUGAUGCAGUUACUAGCUCUGGUUGUAGAGGCAGCGCAAGCUGUAAAGAUGACCAAUGUUAGGGGGGAAGUUAAAUACCCAAUCAAGGGAAUCAAUAUAUUGAAGGCUCAUGGAAAAAGUGCUAGAGACAGCUUUCUGAUGAAUGGUUAUGCUCUAAAUACUGGACGUGCAGCUCAAGGAAUGCCUCUUAGGGUUGCCCCUGCAAAAAUUGCCUGUCUUGAUUUUAAUCGGCAGAAGACUAAAAUGCAAUUGGGUGUUCAAGUAUUAGUUACUGAUCCCAAAGAGCUUGAAAAAAUUCGUCAAAGAGAGGCUGAUAUGACUAAGGAACGCAUUGAAAAACUAUUGAAAGCUGGAGCCAAUGUUGUUCUGACUACUAUGGAUGGUGUUUGAUAUGAGUCAUAUGACUCUCCUACAGAAUUUGCUAGAUUAUCCUCAUAUGCUAGAUUAUCCAAAUCUUUGAGCACCAAGGAAAGUAGAUUUUUCUCCUCUUGAAGUCCUCCAAAGUAAUGUGUUGUGGGACUGUAUAAUGUUCAGCUGAUAGAACAAUGAAAUUCUGGGAUUUAGAAACCUUUGAAUUGAUUGGUUCUGCCAGGCGCGAGGCUACAUGGGUGCGCUCAAUAGCAUUUCAUCCUGAUGGAAGAACCCUAUUUACUGGACAUGAGGAUGGUUUGAAGGUAUGUUCAUGAUAUGUUGCAGGUGUAUUCAUGGGAGCCUGAUAUGAUAUGAAGAAUUUGGACAAGGAUAAAAAUUUUUUAUUUUUUAUUUUAUUUCCUCCCUACAUUGCAUUGCAUUGCAUGCACUAUGCUUUAUCUCUCUUUAACUAUAUGAUUUGAUAAGCAUAAGUUUUUUUUUGGUUAAAUUGACCUGGAUCACUUUUGUUGCCUCGCAUUUGCUAAGAAGUGUUUUUAUUGGUGGUUAUAAUAUACAUUUGAAGGGAUUAAGAAUUCAAGGUUUGAAUUCAAGUAAUGUGCUUUUUAAUGAAUAAUUGUUCUUUCAAUGUUUGUUCAACAUUCUUCAAGAAUCAUCAUCCUGAAUUUUAGUGAUAUUAAACUAAUAAGUGUCUUUUCUUGUUUUUUACUCUUAUUUUAAUAAAUCCUUCCUUUUUUCCCCUAAAAUAUUUUACUUCAUAUUUCAGAACAUGCAUCAGGGAUAUCCAAUUGAAACACUAGCCAGAUUUCUCAAAGCAAGGGGCUGGAAUGUUGCCAAAGCCCAUAAAAUGAUAAUCGAUUAUUUACAAUGGAGAGUUGAAAAUGAGAUUGACAAUGUUUUAUCAGGAACUGCAUAUGCUCAGUCCAAUGCAAACAAAUCAAAGAAGUAGAUGAACAAAUACUUUCAAGUUUUAGCCACACAAGAGUCUACCAUGGAGUGAAGAAUCAUGUAACUCAGAUUUGAUUGGAGAGUUUAAACUUUAAAGAGAGCAUGAGAAAAUAGUUUUAAAAUUUAGGCUGAAAGUCCUGCCCUUCUUUGUUGUAGUUUAAAAGAAAUUUUGGGGUAUCUUUUUAUUGAGAUAGUGAGAUAUUAGGUAAUGGUGUUAAAAAAUAAUAUCCAAUUUUAUAGGUAUCAUGUAAUGAAUAUUAUGUUUAUUUAUGUGAGUUUUGGCUUUCUUUUUUUUAA
This is a long non-coding RNA of Arachis stenosperma, 2458 nucleotides long. RefSeq lists it as uncharacterized. The record is from RefSeq and is a predicted model, not a curated record. NCBI's taxonomy places the organism in Eukaryota, Viridiplantae, Streptophyta, Magnoliopsida, Fabales, Fabaceae. The transcript has 11 exons.